ACAAUGGAGAGUUUGAUCCUGGCUCAGGAUGAACGCUAGCGGCAGGCCUAAUACAUGCAAGUCGAACGGUAGACAUCUUUC
Molecule: ribosomal RNA, 81 nt
Filed under: Algoriphagus sp. 4150
Lineage: Bacteria; Pseudomonadati; Bacteroidota; Cytophagia; Cytophagales; Cyclobacteriaceae
Description: partial 16S ribosomal RNA
Rfam family: Bacterial small subunit ribosomal RNA
Source: RNAcentral